UAGGGAAUAUUGGUAAUGGGCGAAAGCCUGAACCAGCAACGCCGCGUGUGCGAUGAAGGCCUUCGGGUCGUAAAGCACUUUUUGGAGGGAUGAGGAAGGACAGUACCUCCAGAAUAAGCCUCGGCUAACUACGUGCCAGCAGCCGCGGUAACACGUAGGAGGCAAGCGUUAUUCGAAUUUACUGGGCGUAAAGCGCGUGCAGGCGGUUCGGAAAGUUGGAUGUGAAAGCUCCUGGCUUAACUGGGAGAGGUCGUUCAAUACUUCCGGACUUGAGAGUGGGAGAGGGAGGUGGAAUUCCGGGUGUAGUGGUGAAAUGCGUAGAUAUCCGGAGGAACACCAGUGGCGAAAGCGGCCUCCUGGCCCAUUUCUGACGCUCAGACGCGAAAGCUAGGGUAGCAAA
Molecule: ribosomal RNA, 400 nt
Filed under: uncultured bacterium
Lineage: Bacteria
Description: bacterial SSU rRNA
Rfam family: Bacterial small subunit ribosomal RNA
Source: RNAcentral